GGUCUGAUGCCACGUCGGCGAUAGCUCUAAUGACGUUGACCGGCAAUGCUAUGAUUGGACCGAAAGUGACUCCAUAUUUCGUAUGCUGAUAGAAACCUGAGGAUUUGGGUCUUACGUCAUUGGUCCACGGAGCUGAUUUCUGCGAUUACAUUU
Small nucleolar RNA from Alnus glutinosa, 153 nucleotides. RefSeq annotates it as small nucleolar RNA snoR2/U65. The record is from RefSeq and is a predicted model, not a curated record. The transcript has a single exon. NCBI's taxonomy places the organism in Eukaryota, Viridiplantae, Streptophyta, Magnoliopsida, Fagales, Betulaceae.